This 339-nucleotide long non-coding RNA is filed under the name Gallus gallus (chicken). The record is from RNAcentral. Lineage: Eukaryota; Metazoa; Chordata; Aves; Galliformes; Phasianidae.
AAAGAGAAGAAAUAAUUGAUGCUGGGAUGCAAAAUCCCCUCAAGUGAAGGCAUUGCACACUGGGAAAAUUACAUGUCCUGCCCUGCGGCCUUGCUGUGACCGCACGCUGCCUUGACAGUGAUCACUGGCUGGAACGAUGUGCUUCGCCAAGGUUGUCUUUAUUUAGACAAGGCUGCUGCUUUCUGAACUGCUUGCGGGAACAGAGGGGUCAUGCAGUAACCACUCUGCACCUCCUGUGUCAGAGGACUGUGGCGCACUCAGGGGAACACGCCUUUGGUAUUUUUCUAUGUUCUAACAGGGAAAACGGGGUAUUUGGAAUAAAGCAGCAAUGAAACAGAC